GGUCAAGUUAAAAAGAGCACUAGGAGAAUGCCUAGGCACCAAGAGGCGAAGAAGGACGUGACAAGCUGCGAAAAGCUGAGGUUAGCUGCAAAUAAGCCAAGCCUCAGAUAUCCGAAUGGGGAAACCCACCUCAAAAGAGGAAUCCUAUAGCCAAUAAAUAACUAUAGGAAGCGAACCAGGUGAACUGAAACAUCUAAGUAACCUGAGGAAGAGAAAGAAAACUCGAUUUCCAAAGUAGCGGCGAGCGAACAGGGAAGAGCCCAAACGUGUAAAAAGAGAAAAUAGCCAGUCGAAUCAUCUGGGAAGACGAACCAAAGAAGGUAACAGUCCCGUAGACGAAGGCGAAGAUAUCCGACACAAAAGAGUACCACGGAACACGAGAAAUUCAGUGGGAAUACAGGGGGACCACCCCCUAAGGCUAAAUACUACUUGGUGACCGAUAGCGAACAAGUACCGUGAGGGAAAGGUGAAAAGAACCCCGGGAGGGGAGUGAAAUAGAAUCUGAAACCUAGUGUUUACAAGCAGCGAAAGUGGCAAAAGCCACGAUCGUGUACUUUUUGUAGAACGGGCCAGCGAGUUACGAUUACAAGCAAGGUUAAACAUUAAAGAUGUGGAGCCGAAGCGAAAGCGAGUCUAAAGAGGGCAAAAGUUAGUAGUCGUAGACCCGAAACCGUGUGAUCUAUCCAUGAGCAGAGUGAAGUUGAAGUAAAAUUCAAUGGAGGCUCGAACCGGGUAGCGUUUAAAAGCUAUCGGAUGACUUGUGGAUAGGGGUGAAAAGCCAAACGAACACGGAGAUAGCUGGUUCUCCUCGAAAUAGCUUUAGGGCUAGCCUCUAGCAAGAAUGAAAAGGGGGUAGAGCACUGACUGGUCAAGGGGCAUGCAUAUGUUACCGAGACCUAUCAAACUCCGAAUACCAAAUCAUACGCUAGGGAGUCAGACUAUGGGGGAUGAGCUUCAUAGUCGAAAGGGAAAGAGCCCAGACCAUCAGCUAAGGUCCCAAAAUUAUAGUUAAGUGGGAAAGGAUGUGGAGUUACUGAGACAACUAGGAUGUUGGCUUAGAAGCAGCCACUCAUUUAAAGAGUGCGUAAUAGCUCACUAGUCAAGUGACUCUGCGCCGAAGAUAACCGGGGCUAAACUAUAUACCGAAGCUAUGGAACGAAAAACGUUGGUAGAGGAGCAAUGUAUGAAGGAAGAAGCAGAAGUUGAAAAGCACUGUGGACAUCAUACAAGAGAGAAUGCUGGCAUGAGUAGCGAGAGGUGAGUGAGAAUCUCACCCGUCGAAAACCUAAGGAUUCCUGAGCAAGGCUCGUCCACUCAGGGUAAGUCGGGACCUAAGGCGAGGCUGAAAAGCGUAGUCGAUGGACAACAGGUUGAAAAUCCUGUACCGAUACAAUCAGUGAGGAAGUGGGGACGCAGAAGGAUAAUAAGAGCGCCCAGUUGGUGAGGCGUGCAAGCGCAAAGGAUGGGAAGUAGGCAAAUCCGCUUUCCGAGAAGUCUAAAGCGUGAUGCGGAUCGAAAACAAGUAGAGAAGCUUAUAACUCCACACUGCCAAGAAAAGCCACUACAAGAGAAGUAUCGCCCGUACCGCAAACCGACACAGGUAGGUGAGGAGAGAAUCCUAAGACGAGCGGAAAAACCUUUGUUAAGGAACUCGGCAAAAUGACCCCGUAACUUCGGGAGAAGGGGAGCCCCUGUAAAAGGGGGCCGCAGUGAAAAGGCCCAAGCGACUGUUUACCAAAAACACAAGUUUCUGCGAAGCCGAAAGACGAAGUAUAGGAGCUGACACCUGCCCGGUGCUGGAAGGUUAAGGGAAAAAGUUAGCAUAAGCGAAGCUUAGAACUGAAGCCCCAGUAAACGGCGGCCGUAACUAUAACGGUCCUAAGGUAGCGAAAUUCCUUGUCGGGUAAGUUCCGACCCGCACGAAAGGUGUAACGAUUUGGG
This 1941-nucleotide ribosomal RNA is filed under the name Varibaculum cambriense. RNAcentral describes it as "partial 23S ribosomal RNA". It matches the Rfam family "Bacterial large subunit ribosomal RNA", at positions 1 to 2013 of the family's 2925-position model. The record is from RNAcentral. Lineage: Bacteria; Bacillati; Actinomycetota; Actinomycetes; Actinomycetales; Actinomycetaceae.